CACCCCUCGAGCGGACACCACCCUUCCGUCGAGGCCCCGCCCCUCGAGCAGGCCGCGCUCCCUGGCUCAGCCUCCAGCCCGCCCACUGGGAACCAGGCAGGUUGGGACUAUCCACCCCCUUCUACAGCCAUCGUGCUGCAUUGCGUCUUCUGUGUCAAACUGUGAAGAGGACACCAUGCAAGUUCAUUAUGACACACUGCCCUGACCUGAUCUGCACCGGUCUGUGUGAUACGCUGGUGCAGCUGAAAGGGAAGAGCUGGAGAUUUACAAUGUUAAUGGGUUCAGCAGUUCCGCCAGCAGGGGGAGCUGUCGCCGGUGACCCGUGAGGAAGGCGUGGCCUGCACUUCCCGCGCUGACCACAGGGUGGCGCUGAGCCGUCUCUGACCCACGGCGCGUGCGCAUUCCCCGCGGACUCGGCUAUGAGCGCAGCUGAGAGGCCUUGUGUCUCAGGCACCGUCAGGGCCGCGGCUGGCACGCCCGGGGUCAGCGUCUCUGCCGACAGGUGCUGGGUCUCCUUAGGAUUUGCUGGGGUUUUGGCUUCAGGACAACACGGGGCCGUGUCCACGCUGACGGGAGCUGGGUUUCCUGAUGAUGCAGGCGACGCGGGGAGGAAAAGGCGUCGCCGGUGUUCGUGGUGGUGGCCACGGGUGUGUGGAGCCUGCUCUGCCCCCGUGGAGCACACUGAUGCCCAGCAUCAUAACAAAGCCGUCGAUUCUGCACUGGGGAGAAGGAUUAAAAUGCAGACAGUCUGCCUUGAAACCAUGCUUGUGCUAAGAACUCUGGAAAGUACGUGACCCUUCCAUUCCUGGUAUUUUGAUGAUCUUUUAGAGACUGCCAUCCUUGGAAAUAUCUUCCUAUAAGUUAUAUGGGAUCCCCUGCUCCAUGAAACAAAACCUACUUCGGAAGUACCCCUGCCCUGUGUCCCUGCACAGUUGUCAAGAGGCCCCGCUCCCAGCUUCCCAUCAUUCUC
Molecule: long non-coding RNA, 970 nt
Organism: Globicephala melas (long-finned pilot whale)
Lineage: Eukaryota; Metazoa; Chordata; Mammalia; Artiodactyla; Delphinidae
Source: RefSeq, a predicted model, not a curated record